Molecule: small nucleolar RNA, 122 nt
Filed under: Meriones unguiculatus (Mongolian gerbil)
Lineage: Eukaryota; Metazoa; Chordata; Mammalia; Rodentia; Muridae
Description: Small nucleolar RNA SNORA17 (ENSMUGG00000026306.1)
Rfam family: Small nucleolar RNA SNORA17
About the family: snoRNA ACA 17 belongs to the H/ACA family of snoRNAs and is predicted to guide pseudouridylation of the 28S rRNA at positions U4659 and U4598.
Source: RNAcentral
CCUGCCCAUAAAGGUUUUGCAAGGCUGCUGUGUCACAUGUGUGUCCGUAGCUGGCAGAGAAGCUAUAUCUAUGCCCAGUGGUCUGACAUAAUGAACAUCUAAACAAUUAUUAGCCUACCAAU